This 497-nucleotide ribosomal RNA is filed under the name uncultured bacterium. Its description in RNAcentral is "partial 16S ribosomal RNA". It matches the Rfam family "Bacterial small subunit ribosomal RNA", at positions 29 to 507 of the family's 1533-position model. The record is from RNAcentral.
UAUGAACGCUGGCGGCGUGCCUAAUACAUGCAAGUCGAGCGAACAGACGAGGAGCUUGCUCCUUCGACGUUAGCGGCGGACGGGUGAGUAACACGUAGGUAACCUACCUAUAAGACUGGGAUAACUUCGGGAAACCGGAGCUAAUACCGGAUAAUAUAUCGAACCGCAUGGUUCGAUAGUGAAAGAUGGCUUUGCUAUCACUUAUAGAUGGACCUGCGCCGCAUUAGCUAGUUGGUAAGGUAACGGCUUACCAAGGCAACGAUACGUAGCCGACCUGAGAGGGUGAUCGGCCACACUGGAACUGAGACACGGUCCAGACUCCUACGGGAGGCAGCAGUAGGGAAUCUUCCGCAAUGGGCGAAAGCCUGACGGAGCAACGCCGCGUGAGUGAUGAAGGUCUUCGGAUCGUAAAACUCUGUUAUUAGGGAAGAACAAACGUGUAAGUAACUGUGCACGUCUUGACGGUACCUAAUCAGAAAGCCACGGCUAACUACGUG